RNAcentral lists this ribosomal RNA (492 nucleotides) under uncultured bacterium. RNAcentral's name for it is "partial 16S ribosomal RNA". It matches the Rfam family "Bacterial small subunit ribosomal RNA", at positions 29 to 507 of the family's 1533-position model. The record is from RNAcentral.
AGUGAACGCUGGCGGUAGGCCUAACACAUGCAAGUCGAACGGCAGCACAGUAAGAGCUUGCUCUUACGGGUGGCGAGUGGCGGACGGGUGCGGAAUACAUCGGAAUCUACUUUUUCGUGGGGGAUAACGUAGGGGAACUUACGCUAAUACCGCAUACGACCUACGGGUGAAAGCAGGGGAUCUUCGUACCUUGCGCGAUUGAAUGAGCCGAUGUCGGAUUAGCUAGUUGGCGGGGUAAAGGCCCACCAAGGCGACGAUCCGUAGCUGGUCUAAGAGGAUGAUCAGCCACACUGGAACGGAGACACGGUCCAGACUUCUAAGGGAGGCAGCAGUGGGGAAGAUUGGACAAUGGGCGCAAGCCUGAUCCAGCCAUACCGCGUGGGUGAAGAAGGCCUUCGGGUUGGAAAGCCCUUUUGUUGGGAAAGAAAAGCAGCAGGUUAAUACCCCGCUGUUCUGACGGUACCCAAAGAAUAAGCACCGGCUAACUUCGUG